Acanthosepion pharaonis is the source of this 103-nucleotide non-coding RNA. The record is from the annotation of a GenBank genome assembly. Lineage: Eukaryota; Metazoa; Mollusca; Cephalopoda; Sepiida; Sepiidae.
GGCCAAGUGACGUUGAAACACCUGCUCCCGUACGAUCAUCUAAGUUAAGCAAUGUUGAGUCUGGUCAGUACUUAGAUCGGUAACCACUUAGAAAUACCGAGUG